RNAcentral lists this small RNA (143 nucleotides) under Arabidopsis thaliana (thale cress). RNAcentral describes it as "ATSL165830". Lineage: Eukaryota; Viridiplantae; Streptophyta; Magnoliopsida; Brassicales; Brassicaceae. The record is from RNAcentral.
UAUGAACUUCCAAAAUGCCACUAAAAUCGUAAACUUUUGUUUGACUUUUGAUAAAAUGGUCAAGUUUUGUUGACUUUGCCAUUUUAAGCAUGUCGUUAAGUUUUCGUUAAACAAAUAACAGGUAGAGUCGAACUAGUGACCUU